UAGUUGUUAUAGCAAAUCCACCUGCGUCCAUCUGGGCGCCCAUGGGCGUGCUGGUCUUACAGGGAGGUGUGUUCAGGUGCAUUCUGGGAGUAUUGCUAUCUUAAGGCAACGGGAAGUGAUCGCACCAUUGA
Etheostoma spectabile (orangethroat darter) is the source of this 131-nucleotide long non-coding RNA. RefSeq lists it as uncharacterized. The record is from RefSeq and is a predicted model, not a curated record. NCBI's taxonomy places the organism in Eukaryota, Metazoa, Chordata, Actinopteri, Perciformes, Percidae. The transcript is spliced from 2 exons.